RNAcentral lists this ribosomal RNA (218 nucleotides) under Acanthamoeba sp. RNAcentral describes it as "partial small subunit ribosomal RNA". It matches the Rfam family "Eukaryotic small subunit ribosomal RNA", at positions 966 to 1096 of the family's 1831-position model. Lineage: Eukaryota; Discosea; Longamoebia; Acanthamoebidae. The record is from RNAcentral.
GUUUUCAUUAAUCAAGAACGAAAGUUAGGGGAUCGAAGACGAUCAGAUACCGUCGUAGUCUUAACCAUAAACGAUGCCGACCAGCGAUUAGGAGACGUUGAAUACAAAACACCACCAUCGGCGCGGUCGCCCUUGGCGCGUUCGUGUUCACGCACGGGCGCGCGAGGGCGGUUUAGCCCGGUGGCACCGGUGAAUGACUCCCCUAGAGCUUGUGAGAA